RNAcentral lists this ribosomal RNA (490 nucleotides) under uncultured bacterium. Its description in RNAcentral is "partial 16S ribosomal RNA". It matches the Rfam family "Bacterial small subunit ribosomal RNA", at positions 30 to 507 of the family's 1533-position model. The record is from RNAcentral.
AUUGAACGCUGGCGGCAGGCCUAACACAUGCAAGUCGAACGGUAACAGGAAGCAGCUUGCUGCUUUGCUGACGAGUGGCGGACGGGUGAGUAAUGUCUGGGAAACUGCCUGAUGGAGGGGGAUAACUACUGGAAACGGUAGCUAAUACCGCAUAACGUCGCAAGACCAAAGAGGGGGACCUUAGGGCCUCUUGCCAUCGGAUGUGCCCAGAUGGGAUUAGCUAGUAGGUGGGGUAACGGCUCACCUAGGCGACGAUCCCUAGCUGGUCUGAGAGGAUGACCAGCCACACUGGAACUGAGACACGGUCCAGACUCCUACGGGAGGCAGCAGUGGGGAAUAUUGCACGAUGGGCGCAAGCCUGAUGCAGCCAUGCCGCGUGUAUGAAGAAGGCCUUCGGGUUGUAAAGUACUUUCAGCGGGGAGGAAGGGAGUAAAGUUAAUACCUUUGCUCAUUGACGUUACCCGCAGAAGAAGCACCGGCUAACUCCGUG